RNAcentral lists this ribosomal RNA (273 nucleotides) under uncultured bacterium. RNAcentral's name for it is "partial 16S ribosomal RNA". It matches the Rfam family "Bacterial small subunit ribosomal RNA", at positions 86 to 354 of the family's 1533-position model. The record is from RNAcentral.
CCCGGCGACCGGCGGCACGGGUGAGUAACACGUAUGAAACCUGCCCGUAGCAGGGGGAGUAAGCGGAAGAAAUUCCGUCUAAUACCGCGUAACAACCCAUGGAGGCAUCUCUGUGGGUUUAAAGGAAGCGAUUCCGGCUACGGAUGGUCAUGCGUCGCAUUAGCCUGUUGGCGGGGUAACGGCCCACCAAGGCGACGAUGCGUAGGGGUUCUGAGAGGAAGGUCCCCCACACUGGUACUGAGACACGGACCAGACUCCUACGGAAGGCAGCAG